UUUAGUGCUGCGGGCUGGGGACAUAGGUUUGGAUGGGGCUCCCAGGAGUUAAGGUUUUCUUCCCAUCUUUGACGUGCUGUGGGAUGGUGGAUUCCAUGUUACGAUCCUGUUGGCUGACUCCUCCCGUGGGAGACAAAUUCCUCUGAGCUGUGGCGCGUUCCCGAGGAUGACUGGGCUGUGGAGAAAUGCUUCGUUCUCUUCAGCAGACAGACUUGUUUUUCUCAAGCGUCGGGGGCGGGGUAGCACGGCAAUGACGUCGCUUUGCUCCGACUCUCCCUCCUUCCUCCCUGAGACUGAGGAGUCAUGAAACCUCGGUUAAACUGCGUGAAAACCCAAACAUCCCAGCCUGGGCCGGGAUGACCAGGAGCAGCGGGAGCAGCAGGAUGACCAGGAUGAACCUCAGCUCAUUUAUCCAUUCAGCUACCGAAGACGUAUUGGUUGCUUCCAGAUCUUGGCAAUGAUGAGAAAAGCUGCUGUGAGCAUCCGUGUGCAAGAAUUUGUGUGGACAUGUUUCCAGCUCAUUUGAAUAAAUACCAAGGAAUGGAGUUGAUUGCUGGAACACUUGGAGCAAGCCCAGCUGCCCCGAUGACAGCCCAGCCCAGACCUGCGACGGAGUCACAGUGUGCCAGCUGUCGGCAGGGCCCACGCAGCCCCGCAUGGCCUGGAGGCGGCCCUGGCUCUGGAGAAGGAGCUGCUCCCUCCGGACCCCUGCUCUCUCCCCUCAGCCCCCGCUGAUCAGACCACAACUGCUACCGGCCUUGGGAACAGGCUGGGGGUGGGCAUUCGGCCUGAGCCAGGCCAUCUGAGAGUCAUUCUUCCACCCUGGCUGGUGAACAAACCACUCUCCUGUCUCGGUCCUUGCCCUUCUCAGGACAGCGCAGUUUAAAGCGCUCUCUCGCAGGUGAGCACACGUGGCCUCACAGCCGCCCACACUGUGCUGCUGGAGCAGGCAGAAUGUCACUGUCCCCAUCUUAGAGACAUGGAGAUGGGCCCGGGAGGUGGCUGGACUUCCUCAGGUCACUGACCCCGUGUGGGACCGAGGCCUGGCAUCAGAUGGCGAGUGCUCGGCGUCUCCCCUUCCGCAGACCGCAUGGCUGUUGCCGCCAUCCUCCGCACCACCUCAGGGCACCCACGAUCACGGCGGGUGAUGGGGGCUCCCCUACUCGCUGUGCCAGGAAGGGCUGUGCAGACUGCCCGGGAGGGCCCAGAUCAAGCAGUGCUCCUGCUGCUCCACGCACGUCUUCCAGAAAAAAUAAAACCGUAGGAAACCCUGAGGCGAGCUAACAAUUCUUGUGCCCAUGUGCUUGCAGUGAAGGGCACUGAGGUCUGCCACUCACUCUGAAACGAGCGAGAGACGCUGGACAGACAGCUGGGUGGCGGGUGGAUGCACUGAGAGGAGACGUGUGCAACUGUGGACGGAAGCUUCUAGGCGGUGGGUUCACUGGGCCAUUCUGCCUGCUUUUCUCUGUAUUGGCAAUGUUCACAGAAAAACGUUGGUCACGGCGCCAUCGGGAGUUGUGCUCAGAGCCAUUUUUCUAGGAGCAGUGACAGGUUUUGCUGACUCAGGUGCAAUGGAGCAACAUCUGACAGGGCUAGCCAGCUGCACAGAUACAGCCUGUGGUGCUGGAAAGGCUCUUCUUUGUCUGAAGUCCCUGAUCUAAGCAAUUAUUCAACCUGAGACUGAUCGCUUCCUGCUUGAGUUCACACUGAACUCUGCUGACCCAGUUUCACCAAUCCUGAGUAGCCCUGUCCAUACCUCGUUCACUGGGUGUGCAAGGCUGCUGUGCACCCGGUGGCUGCUGCAGAUGUGCACUUGCUUCUGCAUUCCAGCCUGUGCUCUCUGCCAGGCUCCAGCUGCCCUCCCUCUCAGGGCAGGCCCCAGCCUUGCCUCACCCGAGGGAGACCUCCCUGCUGCCCACUGAAAGAGCUUUCUUUCUUCUCUGGGGCUCUCUCGCCUCCUUUUUGUUCGGGCUUUUAUUUUAAGUGUGUGGUGAGCUCCCCAGACCGUGGAGAUCAAAGCAGGAGGCCUGUGUCUUUGUUCUGAUAAUGUAUGUACAUGAGCAAGUUGGGUGAGGAGCCGUGGGGCUCAGCAUUCCUGUCACAGACACAGCAGUGCUGUGCUGAGGCUGAUGACCACCGUGGACACCCCUGUUCCCCAAGUUACUGCCUCAGUUUACCCGAGGCAAUUUGAUUUGGAGCAUUUUAAUUUGGCUCUGGGUUUACUUAUUUAGAAGGACCACAGACAGGUUUGCUGCUGUCUCUGGUUGAAAGUGGCAGAUUAAUCGUGUGUCUUUCUUGAUUUCCUCUGAAUCAUCACAAAAUCACAGUGAAUGGAUGCAGAAAGGUAUAAAUCCAGAGGGAUGUGGACAACAGCAGACCAGACUUGACAACAGAAUUUUGGAAAAUGGGUAGUAUGUGGCUUGGCAGAAUGGAUCAGCUGAGAACUAUGGGCCAGCGAGUGUGCACACGUGUGCAUGUGUGUGCGCGUAUGUGUGCGUGUGUGUGGUGGGUAAGGGGAUCAUAAAAAGGAAAUUUAAGGUUGUUGCAGGUCCUGUUGGUGCACAACCAACCCUUACUGACAGGCACAGAACAGCAUCCUCUGGGAUUCUGUGCCCAGGAACCCAGACAGGGCAGGGUGGGGCUGGCUUGUCGCUGCCCCUCUGCGUCUGGGCCUUAACUGGGGAGACCCAGGGUGUUGAUCGGAGCUCCUCACAGGGGGCAUGGGCUUCCACCCAGCACGGCGGCUGAGGUCUCAGAGGAGGGUUCCAGAGCCACCUGGCAGAGGCUGCUUGGCCUUCUGCGGCUCAGCCUCAGGAGCCCCACAGCCUGGCCUCUGCCAUACUCUGUUGAGGAAGUGGUCAUGAGCCCGCCCGGUUGAAGAGAAAGGUCCAUAGAUGCUCACCUCUCAAGGUGAGGGUACCGAGAACUUCGGAGCCACACCAAACCCCAGGGCACUUGGCGUCAGAGGUGCCACGUCGCUGAAGCGAGGGGGCCUACUCUUAGGAGGACUGACUCAGGGAGGCUCUGAGCCUGGAAACCCCAGCCAGAGCGAGGACGGAGAACUCAGACUGAAAACAGAUGAAUCAAGAAAAAUCUGCUUUCUGGGCAGUCAGCCGUUCCCGCUUUCCCCUCAGCUGCAUGCCGAUUGUGCUGUGUGGGCUGAAUGUAGGAGUUUUCUCCAGCGAGACUGACCAACCAGAGAAAAGACGGACAGGACCCACAUCUGGGGGUCGUGCAGGGACACAGUCAGGCACCCACCUGAUCAGCCGACAGGCAGACAAGCAGAUGACAAGCCCCACUCACCCACACUGAGCUUCCAGCCAGCCAACCGGGGCCUUAAGUAUGGGCAGGAUGUGCCCAGACCCCUGGGCAUCGGGGCCUCUGUCGGGCAUGACAGACACAAACGACAACGGACAGAAGGGGCUCAGGGAGAGGGGGACGGUGCAGAAAAGAAGGACACAUCCACGGAACAGUAAUGCGAUGGAGAAGGGG
This is a long non-coding RNA of Equus quagga, 3492 nucleotides long. RefSeq lists it as uncharacterized. The record is from RefSeq and is a predicted model, not a curated record. The transcript has 4 exons. Lineage: Eukaryota; Metazoa; Chordata; Mammalia; Perissodactyla; Equidae.